UACAGAGGGGGCAAGCGUUGUUCGGAAUUACUGGGCGUAAAGGGCGCGUAGGCGGCCUGCUAAGUCGAACGUGAAAUCCCUGGGCUCAACCCAGGAACUGCGUCCGAUACUGGUUGGCUUGAAUCCGGGAGAGGGACGUGGAAUUCCAGGUGUAGCGGUGAAAUGCGUAGAUAUCUGGAGGAACACCGGUGGCGAAGGCGACGUCCUGGACCGGCAUUGACGCUGAGGCGCGAAAGCAUGGGGAGCGAACAGG
RNAcentral lists this ribosomal RNA (253 nucleotides) under uncultured bacterium. RNAcentral's name for it is "partial 16S ribosomal RNA". It matches the Rfam family "Bacterial small subunit ribosomal RNA", at positions 524 to 776 of the family's 1533-position model. The record is from RNAcentral.